Molecule: ribosomal RNA, 498 nt
Filed under: uncultured bacterium
Lineage: Bacteria
Description: partial 16S ribosomal RNA
Rfam family: Bacterial small subunit ribosomal RNA
Source: RNAcentral
GACGAACGCUGGCGGCGUGCUUAACACAUGCAAGUCGAACGGGCCCGCCCCUGUUUUUGGGGGUGGGUUGAGUGGCGAACGGGUGAGUAUCACGUGAGUAACCUGCCCCCUGCUCCUGGAUAACUGCUUGAAAGGGCGGCUAAUACGGGGUGUGCCGGCUGGUCCGCAUGGGCCUGGUCGGGAUAGUUUCAUCUUCGGGUGUUUCGGUGGGGGAUGGGCUCGCGGCCUAUCAGCUUGUUGGUGGGGUGAUGGCCCACCAAGGCGGUGACGGGUAGCCGGCCUGGGAGGGUGGGCGGCCAGACUGGGACUGGGACCCGGCCCAGACUCCUGCGGGAGGCAGCAGUGGGGGGUAUUGCACAGUGGGCGGAAGCCGAUGCAGCGACGUCGCGUGAGGGAUGGAGGCCUUCGGGUUGUGAACCUCUUUCUCCGGUGGUGAAGGCCCUGUCCGUUGCGGCGGGGUUGACGGUAGCCGGGUAUGAAGCGCCGGCUAACUACGUG